RNAcentral lists this small RNA (4349 nucleotides) under Pongo abelii (Sumatran orangutan). RNAcentral's name for it is "retained intron". The record is from RNAcentral. Lineage: Eukaryota; Metazoa; Chordata; Mammalia; Primates; Hominidae.
GGCCGCCGCCCGCACACCGAACCUCUCGGGGCUGAGUCGGGCUGCUUUCUCCGCGCGUCCCGGGGAGCUCUCGGGAACUCAGGAGCGCGCGGCGAGCUGAACAAUGGCCUGGGGACACCUGGCAGGUCGCAGGCCCCAAGCCAUCCCCACCGCCCCUCGGGCACCGCCCGGCGCUCGGACCCUACCGGCGUUCCCAGAGCGGGGCAGACGGGGCGGUGCCAUUGGUCGGUGCGGAGUGAGGGGCGUGCUCGGGGCGGGACGGAGAGACCGGGGCGGCACCAUUGGCCGUGCCGGGCGAGAGGCGGGGAGAGGGGCGGGGCGAAUGGCGAGGGGCGGGGCGAGGGGCGGGCCUGGCCCCGAGCAGCUGAAGCCUGGGUUCAGCAGGCGCUGCGGGCGCAGCUCCGGUGCAAGCGAGGACACGACACAUGCAGUGGCUUCUGGACUGCGCGAUGGCUGGACGCAAGUAACUCCUAGGUCUGCAGACAAGAGGAAGAGAAGAUGAAGGAAGACUGUCUGCCGAGUUCUCACGUGCCCAUCAGUGACAGCAAGUCCAUUCAGAAGUAAGCCUUGGUGUGCAGGUUGGGUGGGGGAGUCUUCACAUUUGCCAUCCCCCUCGUCCUGGGCAGCCUUUAGGUGGAGGGGUUCUGAGCACUUGUUCAGAGAUCUGAUGGGGUGCCCUGGGGGACAGAGAUGGGGUGCUUCUUUUUGAGCCUGUCCAAUAGGGGAUUCCUCAGCCACACAUGACCAUGGCUGGGAGGCAUGGGCAAUAGAAAAGAGGCUUCAGAUGGCAGGCACUUUAUACGAAAUAAGUGUGUACAGGGCCUCAUUAUAACUUUUACAUUGAUUGCAUGUUGACAAAUAGUAAUUUAGAUAUAUUGAGUUCAAUAAAAUGUGUUAUUAAUGCUAAUUUCACCUGUUUCAUUUUCCCCUCUGUAUUAGGCCAUUCUUGUGUUGCUAUAAAGAAAUACCUGAAGCUGGGUAAUUUACAAAGAAAAGAGGUUUAGUUGGCUCAUGGUUCUGGAGGCUUUACAGGAAGUGUGGUGCUGGCAUCUGCUCGGCUUCCAGGGAGGCCUCAAGGAGCCUCCAGUCAUGUUGGAAGGCGAACGGGGAGCAGGCACUUCACGUGGCGAAAGCAGGAGCAAGAGAGAGGGAGUGGAGGGCGGUGCCACACACUUAUAAACGACCAGACCUCGUGUGAACUCAGAGCAAGAGCUCACUCAUCACCAUGGGGAUGGCCCAAGCCACUCAUGAGGGAUCUUCUCCCAUGAUCCAAACACCUCCCAGCUGGCCCCACCUCCAACACUGGGAAUUACAAUUCCAUAUGAGAUUUGGGUGGGGACACACAUCCAAACCGUAUCACCUCCUAACAUGUACUAGAAGACUGAAAUUAUCAGUGUGGCUCACAUCCCAUGUCUGUUGGCCCUGCUGCCCCCCAGAGCCCAGCUUGGGUUCAGGCAGCUGUCCAGGCCUCCCCUUCCUCCAACAUUAGCCAGGGCUGUGGCUUUCCCUUCGGAAAGGGAGACAGCAUUGAGGGAAAGUGGCUUACUGCAGACUUCAGGGCCUUACUCACAGGACCAUCACCUUCCACUGCGCCUUCGGAAAGUCAGGGUGGGGAAGAAGCAGGCACCCCUCAGGGUGGCCUGCAGCAGCCACAGCAGGCCUUGUAGGAGGUGAUAUGGGGAAAAGCAAGAGGCUGUACAAUGCUGAAAGCAAGUCCAGGGCAUUUACUGUGAGGAAGCAACACAGGUGGAGGGCAGGGAGGCUGCCAGGGCCUUACCUGUGAUAGUGAAAGUCUCGGCACCCUGGACAUCCUGGACCAGACGCAGGCCUGUCCCGUGAGUCUCGCCUCCUCCUCAGCCCCACCCCUAUGUCCCCCACCAGGGCCAUGUGCAAAACCAUCCGGGUGCAUUGCGAUGGCACAGUCUGGUCUCCUCCGGUUAUGCCUGGCCAACGAGAAGGGUGCUGUCAGACUCCUGUUACAAAUGAGGAAACAGAGGCCAGGGAAGCCAAAGGCCAGAAGCUGAGGCCCUGCCACACCCCAGGAGUACACGUGUGUCUUUCCCUUUCUAGGUCAGAGCUCUUAGGCCUGCUGAAAACCUACAACUGCUACCAUGAGGGCAAGAGCUUCCAGCUGAGACACCGCGAGGAAGAAGGGACUCUGAUCAUCGAGGGGCUCCUCAACAUUGCCUGGGGGCUGAGGCGGCCCAUCCGGCUGCAGAUGCAGGAUGACCGGGAGCAGGUGCACCUCCCCUCCACCUCAUGGAUGCCCGGACGGCCCAGCUGCCCUCCAAAGGAGCCAUCGCCCCAGGACGGGAACAUGACAGCCCAGGGGCCAAGCAUUCAGCCAGUGCACAAGGCUGAGAGUUCCACAGACAGCUCGGGGCCCCUGGAGGAGGCAGAGGAGGCCCCCCAGCUGAUGCGGACCAAGAGCGAUGCCAGUUGCAUGAGCCAGAGGAGGCCCAAGUGCCGCGCCCCCGGUGAGGCCCAGCGCAUCCGGCGACACCGGUUCUCUAUCAACGGCCACUUCUACAAUCAUAAGACCUCUGUGUUUACUCCGGCCUAUGGAUCCGUGACCAAUGUGAGGGUCAACAGCACCAUGACAACCCUGCAGGUGCUCACCCUGCUGCUGAACAAAUUUAGGGUGGAAGAUGGCCCCAGUGAGUUCGCACUCUACAUCGUUCACGAGUCUGGGGAGCGGACAAAAUUAAAAGACUGCGAGUACCCGCUGAUUUCCAGAAUCCUGCAUGGGCCAUGUGAGAAGAUCGCCAGGAUGUUCCUGAUGGAAGCUGACUUGGGUGUGGAAGUCCCCCAUGACGUCGCUCAGUACAUUAAGUUUGAAAUGCCGGUGCUGGACAGUUUUGUUGAAAAAUUAAAAGAAGAGGAAGAAAGAGAAAUAAUCAAACUGACCAUGAAGUUCCAAGCCCUGCGUCUGACGAUGCUGCAGCGCCUGGAGCAGCUGGUGGAGGCCAAGUAACUGGCCAACACCUGCCUCUUCCAAAGUCCCCAGCAGUGGCAGGUGCACACUGAGCCCUGGUGGCUGGCCCCGGCCGGUCACAGUGACUGAUGGCCAACGCCUGACAAAUCGAGUGUCUGUGCAUCUACCUGUCUGAAGCCUGAGCACCAUGAUUCCCACAACCAGCUCUUGGCUCCAAGAUAAGCACCAAGGAAGCCGACCCAGGCCUGAGGGACCAGGAACUUGCUGGGUCAGAUCUGUGUGGCCAGCCCUGUCCACACCAUGCCUCUCCUGCACUGGAGAGCUGUGCUGGCCCAGCCCCUGUGGCUUAGGCUUCAUCUGCUUGCUCAGUGCCUGUUCUGGAGCCCGUGUGAGUCCACAAGCCUCUGUCCUCUUCCUUCAUAUGAGAUUCUUGUCUGCCCUCAUAUCAUGCUGCCCCGCAGGAAUGCUGCUGGGAAAAGCAGGGCCUGCCAGCAGGUAUGAGAUCUAGCCUGCUUUCAGCCAUCACCUUGCCACAGUGUCCCCGGCUUCUAAGCCUCCAGUGUUACCCUGUGAGCCUCACACAUGUCAGCCCCAGCACAGAGGUGAGACCAGGAAUAAGGCCACAAGUAUCUCACUUUCUCUGCAGAAAUCAGUCUUUACUUUAUCAGAGAGACCUAAAGCGAUUCUUACAAGGAGCUUGCUGCAAGAAACACGGUCAAUCACAUUGAGGAGGGUCCACAUGGCAUUGAGAGGGUGCGGCCCUCUCAAUGCCCAGCAGCAGCUCCAGAAGGCAGUGCUCAGCCCCAUCACCACUGUCCCGUGGAUGCCUGUGUACCUCUUGCCUUUUCUGAGCUUGCGUUUCUCUCCUCUAGUGGGUGGGGAUGACUUUCAGUGACUUUCAAUGCUUCCCCUGAAGGAAGAAUGAUAAGGAGAAAUGUCUGUUUUGAGGAAAGGGCUUUGAAUUCCCCAGAUACUGAACAAUUUGUGUUUGUGACUGAUGGAGAAUUUCAGGAAUGAAUGAGAAAGCCUUUGCGAAACUAUGCAACAGUUUACAUCAGUCAUAUGAAGUAUUUGUCUACAAACAGAGCAAACUGAAGACCAAAUUAUUCUCCUGUUGAGGUCCGUGGAUGGCAGAUUUAAAGGGAAGAACCACAAAGGCUUGCAAAGAUAGGAGAGGCUCCAUCUCUAAUGCAUGUAUAAGCUUCUUAUAGGUGCCCAUCAAGAGAAUAGCUUGGAAGCCACCAUGCUGUGCGGAACUGCUCGUCAGGGCAAAUGUCACAGCAGGAUUUCCCCAACCCAGCUCCAUCAUCACAGACACAGAGAGCUGCAGGGGAGGCCUGCCCACUGUUUUGUCGACUCUGCCCUCCUCUGACAGCAUAGAUCCUUAGGUGCUCAAUAAAGGUGUGCUGUAUUG